GGCUGGUAUGAAGGUAGUGAGUUAUCUCAAUUGAUCGGUCACAGUCGGUUACAGAUCAAAUCCCUCAUUCUACUCUUUCCGCACUUCUCACUACUGCACUUGACUCAUCUGAA
Unclassified non-coding RNA from Gorilla gorilla gorilla (western lowland gorilla), 113 nucleotides. It matches the Rfam family "Y RNA". From Rfam's summary of the family: Y RNAs are components of the Ro ribonucleoprotein particle (Ro RNP), in association with Ro60 and La proteins. NCBI's taxonomy places the organism in Eukaryota, Metazoa, Chordata, Mammalia, Primates, Hominidae. The record is from Ensembl.